Drosophila hydei is the source of this 703-nucleotide long non-coding RNA. RefSeq lists it as uncharacterized. Lineage: Eukaryota; Metazoa; Arthropoda; Insecta; Diptera; Drosophilidae. The record is from RefSeq and is a predicted model, not a curated record. The transcript is spliced from 3 exons.
CGGAAAUUGCUACAUUUGCAAAUAUAAAAUCAAAUUUGACCGCAUCACCGAAAGUUAAGCAGCAACUAGUGUAGUCGCCUUCGCAUCAUUUGCGAAUUUUCCGCAUUUAUUGUUAUUCAAUUGUACCGAAAUCAAUCCGCAAUCGUUAAUAAAUUCAAAGUCGGUGGAAACGCGGUCAGUUUGAUAUACAAAUGUACGAAAAAACUGCACAAUCCAAAGCAGAGAAAAACAAAAAAAAAAUAAUAAUAAUAAAAUAAAAUGCAGAACCCGAACCGACAGAGUUGUGAACGCAAACACGGUACAAAGUGAAAUAACAAGGCAAAAUGGCAGCGCACAACGCCAAAGAGAGCGAGAGCGGCAAGAGAACAAGAGAGCGUCACAACGGCGAAAUAUGUAUUCGCCGCCGACUCUGACUCGACCACAUUUGCUGCUGCCGCCACUGCCACCGCCACCUCAGCUGCUGCUGCUGCUGUCACUCUUCUCUCUUCUGUUAAUUUUGCGUGUUUUAAUCGGAAAUGAAAGAGGCAAUGGAUUUUGAUUUAAAUAUGGCGCAAGUACUAAAGUCCCGAACGGAUGCAUAACAUUUUGAAACAACAAAGCAACAAUUUAACUAUUGAAAUAUAUAUUUGUAUUCCGUUAUUGCUCAGGCAUUUGUAUUGGUAAACGAAAGCACGACGAAAGCACACGAUGUUGCUCUUUCGCU